This 253-nucleotide ribosomal RNA is filed under the name uncultured bacterium. RNAcentral describes it as "partial 16S ribosomal RNA". It matches the Rfam family "Bacterial small subunit ribosomal RNA", at positions 524 to 776 of the family's 1533-position model. The record is from RNAcentral.
UACGUAGGGUGCAAGCGUUGUCCGGAAUUAUUGGGCGUAAAGAGCUCGUAGGCGGUUUGUCGCGUCUGCUGUGAAAACUCGGGGCUUAACUCCGGGCCUGCAGUGGGUACGGGCAGACUAGAGUCCGGAAGAGGAGAGUGGAAUUCCUGGUGUAGCGGUGAAAUGCGCAGAUAUCAGGAAGAACACCCGUGGCUAAGGCGGCUCUCUAGUACGGUACUGACGCUGAGACGCGAAAGCGUGGGGAGCGAACAGG